UACGAGGGGUGCGAGCGUUGCUCGGAAUUAUUGGGCGUAAAGGGUAGGUAGGUGGUUUCAUUUGUCUGGGGUGAAAGCCUUGGGCUUAACUCAAGAAGUGCCCCGGAAACGGUGAAACUCGAGUACUGGAGAGGGUCGUGGAAUUCCCGGUGUAGCGGUGAAAUGCGUAGAGAUCGGGAGGAACACCAGAGGCGAAGGCGGCGACCUGGACAGUUACUGACACUCAACUACGAAAGCGUGGGGAGCAAACAGG
This 253-nucleotide ribosomal RNA is filed under the name uncultured bacterium. Its description in RNAcentral is "partial 16S ribosomal RNA". It matches the Rfam family "Bacterial small subunit ribosomal RNA", at positions 524 to 776 of the family's 1533-position model. The record is from RNAcentral.